RNAcentral lists this ribosomal RNA (1360 nucleotides) under human gut metagenome. RNAcentral's name for it is "bacterial LSU rRNA". It matches the Rfam family "Bacterial large subunit ribosomal RNA", at positions 1199 to 2437 of the family's 2925-position model. The record is from RNAcentral.
GACGCGGCAGCAGUCCUUUGGCUGCUGGGUAGGAGAGCGUCCCGCGUGGGGCGAAGCGGCCGCGGAAGCGUGCCGUGGACCGCGCGGGAGUGAGAAUGCAGACAUGAGUAGCGAGAGACGGGUGAGGAUCCCGUCCGCUGGAUGACCAAGGGUUCCGGGGCCACGUUCGUCGUCCCCGGGUGAGUCGGGUCCUAAGGCGAGGCCGACAGGCGUAGUCGAAUGGAUGAACGGGUGGAUAUUCCCGUACCGGCGGCGUACCGUAAGAGCCGAACGGAUGAGUACUAACCUCCGGUCGCGUGGCGUCGUUCCCUUCGGGGUUCGGGGCUUGCGUGGCUGUUGGGAGCGUAGUCCUGGUAGGCUAGCGCACAGGGGUGACACGGAAUGGGAGCCGGCCGCGGAGGUGGUUUUCCGUGGUCAAGCACGCAGCCCGUCCCAUAGGCAAAUCCGUGGGGCAUGUAGGGUGAGGUGUGAUGAUGGGCGCUUUUUUGGCGCGAUAUCCGGUGGUCCAGGCCGUCGAGAAAAGCCUCGGCGCGAGGGGCGUUGCCGCCCGUACCCCAAACCGACACUGGUGGUCAGGUAGAGAAUACCAAGGCGAUCGAGCGAAUCCUGGUCAAGGAACUCGGCAAAUCACUCCCGUGCCUUCGGUAUAAGGGAGACCCCCGGGCGUGAAGAGGCUUGCCCUCGGAGCGUUGGGGGGUGGCACAGACCAGGGGGUAGCGACUGUUUACCAAAAACACAGGUGCAUGCGAAGGCGCAAGCCGCUGUAUAUGCACUGACGCCUGCCCGGUGCCGGAAGGUUAAGAGGAUCCGUCAGCCCUCGGGUGAAGCGGUGAAUUCAAGCCCCGGUAAACGGCGGUGGUAACUAUAACCAUCCUAAGGUAGCGAAAUUCCUUGUCGGGUAAGUUCCGACCUGCACGAAUGGCGUAACGACUUCCCCACUGUCUCGACCAGGAGCUCGGCGAAAUUGCAGUACGAGUAAAGAUGCUCGUUAAGCGCAGAAGGACGAAAAGACCCCGGGACCUUUACUAUACCUUGGUAUUGGCGUUAGGCGCGGAUUGUGUAGCAUAGGCGGGAGGCUUCGAAGCGUGGGCGCCAGCCCGUGUGGAGCCGCAAGGUGAAAUACCGCUCUGUUCUCGUUUGACGUCUAACCUCGGCCAGUGAUCCUGGUCAGGGACAGUGCCUGGCGGGUAGUUUAACUGGGGCGGUUGCCUCCCAAAGAGUAACGGAGGCGCUCAAAGGUCCGCUCAGCCCGGUUGGCAAUCGGGUUUCGAGUGUAAUCGCACAAGCGGGCUUGACUGCGAGAACGACGGUUCGGGCAGGGACGAAAGUCGGAGAUAGUGAUCCGGUGCCGGCGCACGGG